UACGUAGGGUGCGAGCGUUAAUCGGAAUUACUGGGCGUAAAGCGUGCGCAGGCGGUUUUGUAAGCCAGAUGUGAAAGCCCCGGGCUCAACCUGGGAAUGGCAUUUGGGACUGCAAGGCUUGAGUGCGGCAGAGGAGACUAGAAUUCCUGGUGUAGCAGUGAAAUGCGUAGAUAUCAGGAAGAACACCCGUGGCGAAGGCGGCUCUCUGGGACGGUACUGACGCUGAGACGCGAAAGCGUGGGGAGCGAACAGG
RNAcentral lists this ribosomal RNA (253 nucleotides) under uncultured bacterium. RNAcentral describes it as "partial 16S ribosomal RNA". It matches the Rfam family "Bacterial small subunit ribosomal RNA", at positions 524 to 776 of the family's 1533-position model. The record is from RNAcentral.